This 202-nucleotide ribosomal RNA is filed under the name uncultured bacterium. Its description in RNAcentral is "partial 16S ribosomal RNA". It matches the Rfam family "Bacterial small subunit ribosomal RNA", at positions 1300 to 1500 of the family's 1533-position model. The record is from RNAcentral.
GCAGGCUGCAACUCGCCUGCAUGAAGCUGGAAUUGCUAGUAAUCGCGGAUCAGCAAGCCGCGGUGAAUACGUUCCCGGGCCUUGUACACACCGCCCGUCACACCAUGAGAGUCGGGAACACCCGAAGUCCGUAGUCUAACCGCAAGGGGGGCGCGGCCGAAGGUGGGUCCGGUAAUUGGGGUGGAAGUCGUAACAAGGUAUC